UUGGGCUGUGACACAGAUUGCUGUCAUACAGCGAGACUCUCCCCACUUCAUGGGGCUGACAGCCUGCACGUGGCCACACCUCCGUGUGGAUACCUUCUUCACCCUGGUCAGCCUUUGACAACCCACUCUGGGCCUUCUCCUGGCUGGGACUUUAUUUUCACCCAUUUCAAAGAGCUCUGCCACCCCAAACUGGGCCACCACUGUCACCAUUUCCUUAGGAGAAAAAGCCAACAGAAACAUAAAAAGGAAAAACAUGAGGUGGUCCCCAUGGGUCAUGGCGCUCAGGACGGGAUGAGUCCCAAGGAUUUAAACUUCAGAGCCAACCAGCGAGGUAGGUGAUGACAGUUGUCCUAACAUUCCGAUUUGCCACGGUUUUCCUGUGAGCACGUUUGUUGAUGUUGUGAGUCAGUGACUCAGAAUUCAGGAUUGUAUAGAAGAGAAAAUGGUAAGAACAGCAGCAAUUAUAUAACCCGAGGUGUUUUCAUAGCAUUCUCCCAGCUCCUUUCAGGAAAUCUCCAGUCCUGUUGUCCAGGGGAGGAUUCUUUUAUCUCUUUUCUGGGGAUUUUUCUUCAAUUCCUGACCAACCAAACUGCUGUGUGCACUUCCCCUCUGCAUAACCAAAAACUAGUAUAGAGAGUCAACGAUCCUCCUUAAUGCUUUCAACCAAGUCAAUGAUAAAAAUCAUUGAAAGGGUAGAAGGCAAGGGAAGAUAAGCCCACCCAUCAUUCUUUAUAAGGAGUGACACUCUUACGUGUUGACCCUUCUUUUUCUCUGAAGAGACACCAAAAGAAUGGAAUCUCCUGGAAUGUGAGGUAACUCAGCUCACUCAUCUGUAGUCUUUACAAUAUGCCUCUCGGGUUUUUUGACGUGUGAAAGGAAAGAGACAGCUAGUCUGAAGCGAUAGAAAGUUAGGGUCAUGCACUCCAUAACCAUCUCUUGUUGAUGCAAGAACUGAGUGUAAACAGGAUGAGCAGAGUUUAUUAAGACCAAGACAAGUAUUAAGUGAGUAACAGCUGUAGACAUUUUAUUCUGCGUACACAUACAAGGGGCUUCAGGCACAUGCAUACAGGAGUGGAAGAGUGUUUAUUAUGUGCUGAGGACUGUGGUAGACAUUUUGUUUAAAUUAUUUCUUCAACUCUAAAAUACCUGUUAGAUUAUUACAUGGUGUUCUCAUUGAGCUAUUACAGGACUGCUGUGAGGAUUAAAUGAGAUGAAACUGGUAGUAUCUGGUACAUUAGAUUCUCAUAAUAGCCCUAUAAAUCUCACCAAGGUUAAAGUGACCCAGCCAAUGUCACAUCACUAGAAAGUGGUCGAGAUGGUGUUCUAAUCCAGAACCAAC
This 1339-nucleotide long non-coding RNA is filed under the name Sus scrofa (pig). RNAcentral describes it as "lncRNA (ENSSSCG00025023217.1)". The record is from RNAcentral. Lineage: Eukaryota; Metazoa; Chordata; Mammalia; Artiodactyla; Suidae.